Molecule: long non-coding RNA, 5209 nt
Filed under: Phoenix dactylifera (date palm)
Lineage: Eukaryota; Viridiplantae; Streptophyta; Magnoliopsida; Arecales; Arecaceae
Description: long non-coding RNA (PDAC_LNC006088)
Source: RNAcentral
CCAUCGGCCUGAAGGAUCUGAGAAUGAAACUUAGUAUCAUUCCUCAAGAGCCAACUCUUUUCAGGGGUAGCGUGCGGAGUAACAUGGAUCCUCUAGAUCUGCAUACCGAUCAUGAAAUAUGGGAGGUUAGCGACUUACUGAUAUUGUCAAAACUAGGGGAAGCAAACAUAUUUCCACAAUGUCAUGGUUAAAUAAGAGGGUGAAUCAUGACCUAAGGAACUUAAGAUUUUAUUACAGAAAACAUUCAUGUCACAUUGCUGCCGAUAUUUAUUUUCAAAUAAUGUUGUAUAUCGGAAAUUUUACUAAAUUUUGUAUGUGCUCUAAUUUCUUUCUCAAAAGUUUAGGUCGACAUAAUCAAAACUGCCGCUACUAGGUCACAUAAAUACUAUAAUUUUCUAGAUCUUAGUGGUCAGUAAAUUUCUGUAACAUGCUAAAAAUGCCCAAUCAUAUAAUUGCUAUACUCUUUCCACUCUAGAGAUGAAUUCUGCUUUUCACAGUGAUGUCUUUUUUGAGAACUUCCAAUGUGAUAUCAAUCAUCUGUUACCACUUUGUUUAUCACAGGCAUUAGAGAAGUGCCAACUUAAGGCUAUUAUUAGCAAUCUACCUGCUCUUCUUGAUUCAUCAGGUGAAUUAAUUCAUCCAUUGAUAAUGAGCUCCUCAUUCCUUUAAGUGGCAAUCCAAUGUUCAUAUGGUUUUCUAAUUUGGCAGUGAGUGAUGAUGGUGAAAACUGGAGCACCGGUCAGCGCCAACUCUUCUGUCUUGGUCGCGUGCUCCUUCGUAAGAACAGAGUUCUUGUUCUAGAUGAAGCCACUGCCUCCAUUGACUCUGCGACUGAUGCUGUACUUCAGAGAGUCAUCAGGCAGGAAUUUUCAAGCUGCACAGUGAUUACAGUAGCGCACAGAGUCCCGACUGUUAUGGACAGUGACAUGGUCAUGGUCCUCUCUUAUGGUAUGUAUGAGAACCUUUGUCUACAUUUUUUCAGAAAGCCUUGUGCAAACGUCAAUAUAUAUUUGUCAGAUAAUUUUAGGGUUAUGAUUUUUUUUAUGCUCAUAAUUUGCAAUAUAUCGUGUGGCAUGGACAUAUCAUGCCGGCUAGUCCAAUUUAAACAGAAUAUUGAUCUCUUGUCUAGUUAGCAGUUCUGCAAAGCCCUGUAAAAGAUGCUAUAGGGUUCAUGAAGAAUUAACUGACGAUACAUCAGAACCAAAAGGGCUAUCUCAGCCAAUUUGCUAUGAAGUUGUUCAACAACAAAAUUUAACUGCUAAUGAAUGAACUGGAAAUCUACCUCAACAUGCCAUAUUGCUGCAUAUAAUCAAAGUUGCGAUAACCAUACAAAAUUAGAAAUGCAGUCGAGGUGACAUAGACCACAUGGAUAGAUAUGAGAACUUGGAAGCAGCAACACAAAAUGGUUGCAAAUGGAAGAUAUGACAAACCAUAUAAUUUUUUUCCAAAAAAAACAUUCCUCAAAAAGACAAACCAUAUGAUAUGCAUGAAAUGUUUUAGGGACAAAUAUAAUCAAGAGUUUCAUGCAUACAUACUAAAAUUGGGAAAGAGAAACAGAACAUUGAACGAUGGACUUGGCUUCGUAUUAAAUAUAGAGAAGUUUUCAAAUAAUACAUGAAAUCAAGUAGUAGCAAGUCGACCAGCAGGCUCACUUGCAAAUCAUCAUAAAUAUAUUUGAAACCUUAAGAUUCAGAGACACAUUAUUAUUAAUCACCAUACUUGAAUUAUAAACAAAACUUGAGCAGUUAUUCGUUUUAUAACCAGAAUUUGUUUAAGGGAAUGUAAACAACCAGUAUUUGUUAUUCGUACAUUAUAUAAGAUGGGUCGACAACAAUUACUUUGUAAUGAGUGUGGAUGAAUAAAAAGUGAAGUUCUCUCAAAAAGAGUAAAAAGUAAAGUUGUUGUAUACAUAAGCCUUUCAAGAGUGUAUAUUUGAAGCCAGGAUAGGGGAUGAAAUUAUUCUGGAGAUCCUUAUGUAUGGUGAAAUGCUCCAUUUGGUGAUCACAGUCCUUACACCACUAAUGCCUUUACUGUUUGCAGGAAAGCUUGUAGAAUAUGACAAACCUUCUAAACUAAUGGAAACCCACAAUUCUGCCUUUGCUAAGCUUGUGGCAGAGUACUGGUCCAACUGUAAGCGAAACUCCAGCAAUACUCUCACAUCCAUCUUGGGAGACCUAAGAGGGGAAUAAAACAAACAGGUCCCACUAAGAUAUGGCGGUCCAACCUUUGAAAAAUUCACCAACUGAAGGGUAUAUAGUUUGGUCCAGAGGGGUCUCCAUGCUCCACCAUUCAUUCUCUCUACUAAAUAAGUGAAUGAUAGUAUUAAAAAAAUCAUGGACCAUGAAAGAAUUUUGUGAAAUGUCGACCUUAUUUAUAGCAGGAUAUUAUAUGCAAAAGGUCAUACUUGUACUUUUUGAAGCCUAACUGCUUGACAUUGUAGCCAAGGCAGUUUUUUCUAUUUUAAGUGCAGAAAGUGUACUGUUUUUUAUUGCAAUAUAUCCUUAUAUGUUUACUAAAUGCACCAUAUCUUCUUAUUAGGAAUUGUGAACACUACUGAAGUAAUGAUCAUGGGAUUUCUUGACUUUCGCCCAUCCAUCAUUAGCCAUCAUUAGACAUAAUAUAUUACAAUGAAGAACUCCUUAUGAGACUUGUCAUAAAACGUCAAAAGAGCUAGUUUAACAGCCCAAUUGGUACUUUUGGUAGCAGGGCUGUGAUCAGUGGCUCGAAAUCUUAAGGCUUUGUGUUAAAGGUGGAGGAAGGUGUCGGCCGCAAUGAAUGAAUGUCAGCCUUAACGGCCAUCUAUAAGUAAUACAAUGACUUUUAUUUGCAUUUUCUUUCUACCUUAAUUAAUAUGUAUAACAAUAAUUAGAAAAUUAUAGAAAGAUCUGACUCCCACGAAUGAAGACAAUGAUAUGAAUCAUGAGAUUACAGUGUGUGACAACUAAUUGCCCAUUUGACAGACCUAAUAAUUGAACUUAAUAAUCUAAGUGGACACUGGUGACAUCACAUUAUUACAUUGAUGUUUGAUUUUUUUUUAAAAAAAUAAUAAUCAGAAAUGGUUAACCUAUGAACUUAAGAUAUUUAAGCAGGAUAAGAUACUGCAAUUGGGAUGGGUGUACCUUACACUGUUCAUCAUAGAAUAUUAGAAAAAUCCAAGAUCAAUUGCUCUAAUUUGUCUGAAGUUAAUCAAUUAACCACUUGCUUGCAAGCGCUCCACUCUAUCAUGGCAUGUGGUACCUAUCAAUCACUAUCUGUUGAAGUAACCUGGCAGUUGCGAUUGGUUCAUCAGUUCAUUUGCCAUUUCCUCACUAUUUAAAUCUUUGACCCAACAAAGGCGGCAUAGCAUGAAAAAAGAAAUAAAAAGGGAUAACUUUAGAGGUCAACCUGAAGAUUUUACUAAUUCCAUAAUUAGAAACUAACUUAUAAUCAUUAUAUUGGUUGUCAUUACAUGUAUAGUUAGUCAAAAAAAUAAAAACCAUAAAGGUUCCCUCAAAUGGGCAUAUAAUUAUAUAAUCAAAAACAAGGCUUAUUAAUUUAUAUCUCCAAAAAAAAAGGAACUAUUAAGCUAUAGCAUUAUACAACUUUUAAGCAUGGCAUUUACCUUUUCCAUUCUUUAGUGCACCACUUUACAUAUAUAAUACUAGCUUUCAGAAUUCAUCUAUAAACCAUAAAGCAUCAAAAUCCAUAUAUGUUCUAACUUGAGCUUCCAGUCUAAUUUCAUGCCCAUACUUAAUAAGAAAUUUGAUAUCCAUCACAACUAAGGACCUGCUUGGACAAUUGGGCUCCAAAUCCUAUAGGAUUUGUGGGUUGGGCCAGUACAACCAGCAAGAUCAUAGGAUUACACGCUGAGCUAUGCCUAUAUUUAUAAAUACUCACGAUUAGCUUUGGAGCGGGCCGGCCUGAAUCCCAUAGAGAGAAAAAAAAAGACAACAGGUUUUUUUUUUAAUUAAUCAGAAUAGAAAUAAUUAAUCCUUCAGAAGCAAUUAUUACACAAGUUAUUUCUGUUUCCUUUUGGCUUAAAAAUUCUGGAAUAACAACAAGGCUGAGAAUGCUGUUGUUUCUUGAAAGAGGGACGAAUGAUUAAAAGAUGGUCUUAUUCUAGCAAUAAUGUUAUUCCAACUCUCUCUUUGAAAAUAGUUAUUUCAGAUAUCAAGAAAUUUAGACCACAUACCCAUGGCAGAUGCCACAGCUUCGCCAGUCAACAGGACCCUUCCUUGGAAGGAUCCUUGGAAGAAUAGUUGUCCCUCAUGGUGAGCUCCCUCAAGCUGAUCAUUGGUAUGAUCUUAAUUGCAUUGCGGCAACCAUUGAUUCCUAGACUGCUGCUGCCGGCUUAAAUGGCAUCUCCUUCAUGAACUCCACCAAUCUAUUGAGAUUCCCACAAUUUUCCAAAAACUCCAACCAUCCAAAUAUAACCUUCACGCCUGUACUGAUUAUCCAGUCUAUAAGCAUGGAUUCCAAUGUUUGACAGCUCCAGCUCUCUCAGGGAAUUGGAUCACAACUCGAACUCUCUCAUCAGCUCAAAAACCUCCGAGACCGUUGGAAUCAAACCAAGACUCCAUCCUUCAUUCAGCCAUUUGAUCAACCACGGGGCAGGCGUCCAAAGCACUUGGAUUUCCUCAAGCACACGGAGAGAAGAAGGCCGGGGAAUCGGAGAUGUGCUUAGGUUCAUGAGCUUAGAUUCGAGGGGUAAAGAUGAGGGCUUUAGGUUGAGGGUUCCGGCAAGGGAUCGGAGAACCGUGCCUUCGAGAGAGCCGUGGCCAUCGCCAUGGAGAAAAAAGGCCAAGGAAGCGGGGGCUGGAAAGAAUGGUAGGGACCAGGACAGACUUUAUUUAUCUAAGACCUCUCAUUAUUCAUUAAACUUGUUUUGCGUUUUCUAUAGAAUCUAGCAAUCUAUUUAUGGGCAGUAAUAUUUAAUUAUUUAAUUUAUUUAACUCGAUUACGAUCAAAAUGUGCCAUACUAUACCAAAACAAAACAAAUUCGAUACGCCAAACCUUUCUCUAUACCGAACAUGCCUAUAUAGUACAAUGGCACUGAUAUGAAAUCCAAUACCAAAAUGGCGUACCUUAAUUCAAAAUAUUAUAAAUCAACUCAGAUUAUCUGUUUAAUAAAGUGAUCAGUUUUAGAUAUGAAUUUUUAAUAAAGUGAUCGGUUUUAGAUAUGAAUUUUUGAUUGAGCUAAUAAACAGACCGGAUUCGAGUUGAUAAAUUU